RNAcentral lists this small RNA (125 nucleotides) under Marmota monax (woodchuck). The record is from RNAcentral. Lineage: Eukaryota; Metazoa; Chordata; Mammalia; Rodentia; Sciuridae.
GGCGGGUGUGGUAGUGCACACCUGUAAUCCCAGCAACUUGGGAGGCUGAGGCAGGAGGAUUGCAAGUUCAAAGCCAGCCUCAGCAAAAGUGAGGCCUUAAGCAACUCAGUGAGACCCUGUCUCUA